This 199-nucleotide ribosomal RNA is filed under the name uncultured bacterium. RNAcentral describes it as "partial 16S ribosomal RNA". It matches the Rfam family "Bacterial small subunit ribosomal RNA", at positions 328 to 539 of the family's 1533-position model. The record is from RNAcentral.
ACGCUCGACACCUACGGGAGGCAGCAGUGGGGAAUAUUGCACAAUGGGGGAAACCCUGAUGCAGCAACGCCGCGUGAAGGAAGACGGUUUUCGGAUUGUAAACUUCUGUUCUUAGUGAAGAUAGUGACGGUAGCUAAGGAGCAAGCCACGGCUAACUACGUGCUAGCAGCCGACGGUAAUCUGAGCGGGCUGGCAAGGC